AUGCACGCUGGCGGCGUGCUUCACACAUGCAAGUCGAACGAUGAAGCCCAGCUUGCUGGGUGGAUUAGUGGCGAACGGGUGAGUAACACGUGAGUAACCUGCCCUUGACUCUGGGAUAAGCCUGGGAAACUGGGUCUAAUACUGGAUAUGACUUCUCAUCGCAUGGUGGGGGGUGGAAAGAUUUAUUGGUCUUGGAUGGACUCGCGGCCUAUCAGCUUGUUGGUGAGGUAAUGGCUCACCAAGGCGACGACGGGUAGCCGGCCUGAGAGGGUGACCGGCCACACUGGGACUGAGACACGGCCCAGACUCCUACGGGAGGCAGCAGUGGGGAAUAUUGCACAAUGGGCGCAAGCCUGAUGCAGCGACGCCGCGUGAGGGAUGACGGCCUUCGGGUUGUAAACCUCUUUCAGUAGGGAAGAAGCGAGAGUGACGGUACCUGCAGAAGAAGCGCCGGCUAACUACGUG
Molecule: ribosomal RNA, 465 nt
Filed under: uncultured bacterium
Lineage: Bacteria
Description: partial 16S ribosomal RNA
Rfam family: Bacterial small subunit ribosomal RNA
Source: RNAcentral